This 373-nucleotide ribosomal RNA is filed under the name uncultured organism. RNAcentral's name for it is "bacterial SSU rRNA". It matches the Rfam family "Bacterial small subunit ribosomal RNA", at positions 525 to 896 of the family's 1533-position model. The record is from RNAcentral.
ACGUAGGGGGCAAGCGUUGUCCGGAAUCAUUGGGCGUAAAGCGCGUGUAGGCGGCCUUGUAAGUCCGUUCUGAAAGCCCGGGGCUCAACCCCGGGAGGCGGAUGGAUACUGCAAGGCUCGAGUCCGGAAGAGGCGAGUGGAAUUCCCGGUGUAGCGGUGAAAUGCGCAGAUAUCGGGAGGAACACCAAUGGCGAAGGCAGCUCGCUGGGACGGUACUGACGCUGAGACGCGAAAGCGUGGGGAGCAAACAGGAUUAGAUACCCUGGUAGUCCACGCCGUAAACGAUGGACACUAGGUGUGGGAGGUGUCGACUCCUUCCGUGCCGAAGCUAACGCAUUAAGUGUCCCGCCUGGGGAGUACGGCCGCAAGGCUA